GACGAACGCUGGCGGCGUGCCUAAUACAUGCAAGUUGAGCGAUGAAGGUUGGUGCUUGCACCAAUUUGAAGAGCAGCGAACGGGUGAGUAACGCGUGGGGAAUCUGCCUUUGAGCGGGGGACAACAUUUGGAAACGAAUGCUAAUACCGCAUAACAACUUUAAACAUAAGUUUUAAGUUUGAAAGAUGCAAUUGCAUCACUCAAAGAUGAUCCCGCGUUGUAUUAGCUAGUUGGUGAGGUAAAGGCUCACCAAGGCGAUGAUACAUAGCCGACCUGAGAGGGUGAUCGGCCACAUUGGGACUGAGACACGGCCCAAACUCCUACGGGAGGCAGCAGUAGGGAAUCUUCGGCAAUGGACGAAAGUCUGACCGAGCAACGCCGCGUGAGUGAAGAAGGUUUUCGGAUCGUAAAACUCUGUUGGUAGAGAAGAACGUUGGUGAGAGUGGAAAGCUCAUCAAGUGACGGUAACUACCCAGAAAGGGACGGCUAACUACGUG
RNAcentral lists this ribosomal RNA (497 nucleotides) under uncultured bacterium. RNAcentral describes it as "partial 16S ribosomal RNA". It matches the Rfam family "Bacterial small subunit ribosomal RNA", at positions 28 to 507 of the family's 1533-position model. The record is from RNAcentral.